Molecule: long non-coding RNA, 1745 nt
Filed under: Triticum aestivum (bread wheat)
Lineage: Eukaryota; Viridiplantae; Streptophyta; Magnoliopsida; Poales; Poaceae
Description: long non-coding RNA (TAES_LNC010215)
Source: RNAcentral
CAACAAAAAAGAGAAUAACUAUGCACUGUUUCUAUAAGAAAAUUGUAUAAGAACAUGUGUUACACAAAAAUUUUAUUGUCUAACAUUUUUGCAGUUGCACAGGUCACAUGUUACAGAUAGAUAAGGUGCCCACAUGAUAGAACAAAAAAAACUAAGGAGCACACAAGCCUUUGUUUUCUCCCUAACAGAUUGACUGCUUUACUUGCGAUGAUAGCAUGCAGAACUUUGUGUUUGUUGAUCCCUUUAACUGUCAAAAACGCUCUCAUGUUAUGGGAGGGAGUAUCAAUGUACUCGUGAUCGCCUGACUGGUAAAGCAACAAACAGGCCAGUAGAACAUCACGGCUAAUACAGCGGCAGACCACACAGUGCGGGAAACUACAAUGGCCAAUUCUAAAACCUUGUGGUUAAUAGAUAAACACACAUCCAUGAUGAUCCAAUACAAUAGGAUAAAAUCGACACGCUGAGGGAACUAAUGGCUUUUCAGCUAAUAACAUACAGCACAUGACAACAGCGCAGCGGGUACCUUUGUUCACUACAACUAGAUAGGAAGUGCGGCUUGCCGCACCCCACCCGCCCAGCCACAUCCAACCUGGUAUAUGACGUUUUUUAUUUCAUACGUUUAUACGAUGAAAGGCAAUAGUGUAACGGUUCAGUAUGUUAUAGCAAAAGUGCAAGGUUCAAUAGGUCACGACAAUUUGUUUACAAAUAUAUAUUACACAAGGCAACAAAAAAGAGAAUAACUAUGCACUGUUUCUAUAAGCAAAUUGUAUAAGAACAUGUGUUACACAAAAAUUUUAUUGUCUAACAUUUUUGCAGUUGCACAGGUCACAUGUUACAGAUAGAUAAGGUGCCCACAUGAUAGAACAAAAAAAACUAAGGAGCACACAAGCCUUUGUUUUCUCCCUAACAGAUUGACUGCUUUACUUGCGAUGAUAGCAUGCAGAACUUUGUGUUUGUUGAUGGUGGAACUUGCACAAGUAACUCCACAUUUAGUCCGACAAAAUGAUGGCAGCUUCCAUGGAGCCGCCAGACCUGAGAAGCACAAAGAAUGAAAACAUGAGUAAACUGAAGAUGUCAUGAACAUAAAUUUGUCAAAAGUGCAGGAUCAAUGCACAAUAUUUAUCAAACUGAAACAUGCUAAUUGGUUUGGAAGUACAACAUGCACUUGAUUUUAUGUGUAAAAAAGGAGUGCUUACAUGAUUAAUGGUGGAUGUAAGUGUGAAGGAGGCAAUGUAACUACAAUCAUCUAUGAUGAUGCCUUCACAACAAUAAAAAUACUCAGCAAGACCUGGAGACUCACAUAAGGGCAUAAUCUCCAUAAGAAACUUGAUUUUCAGUAGGAAGCGCCAAAACUCAAAUCAAUGCAUAAUAUAUUAAUAGUGGUUCAGUAUAAAGCAGCAAUUUAGGGGCAAGCACAAUAUAGAUAUGAUUCAGUACAAAGUACUCCCUCCGUCCCAAAAUAAGUGUCUCCGUGAGAUUUUAAAUUGGGUUAACGGGUUAAGCAUCUUUUAAGUUGAAUGAUAGUAUGAUGCCAAACAGAACAUGUUUGUUAGAAUGCAUAUUGAAUAGUACAAACUGAAUUUCAACUUGGACCAUCCGAUGUUAACACAUAUAAUAUUUUUCGACUUGCAAUAUAAUUGUACCAAACCACAAGUAUUUUUCGAUUUGGAUAUACAUGGGACCAAAAAAUGUAACUAAAACUGCAACAUGAUAUGACAACUACCACAACCAAAAAGAGAGCACGG